RNAcentral lists this long non-coding RNA (17239 nucleotides) under Citrus sinensis (sweet orange). Its description in RNAcentral is "long non-coding RNA (CSIN_LNC004493)". Lineage: Eukaryota; Viridiplantae; Streptophyta; Magnoliopsida; Sapindales; Rutaceae. The record is from RNAcentral.
UCAAGGAGAAGGUUGAAGGAAAACUUCAGGAUCUGAAGGAUUCCAUUUCAGAAGAGUCAACUCAAAAGAUGAAGGACGCCAUGGCCGCCCUUAACCAAGAAGUCAUGCAGCUUGGCCAGUCUCUAUACAACCAACCAGGUGCUGGACCUGCUCCCGGUGCGGAAGCUGGGCCGUCGGAUUCAUCCAACAAGGGACCUGAUAGUGAUGUUAUUGAUGCCGAUUUUUCUGACAGCAAAUGAGGACCUUAUAGCUUUCUGUUCUCAUUCCUGGUAUCAUUUUUGUUGCAUGGGCAAAGGACACAACGUUGUUUUUAGAAAUAUAGAAGAUAUUGGUGACAGCUACAGAUAGUAGGAAACCCCCCAUUUGCAAACGAAACUAGUUUUAUUUCUUGUGUAUAAAAUGCACUUCAACAAUAGUUCAUUUAUUAAAUGCAGAAUAUGGUUUUUAUGAUAAAUUUUAGAGUUAAUUUUGAAUAUUUAUGUGUGAUAUGUUUACAAUAAUGCUGGGAUCUCAAUGUUGUAUGUGUGAAUUUGUUAUUGUUAUGUGGAUGAAGUAACGAUCUGAGAUUGAGUGGAUAGAGAAGAGAGUACUGCACAUUAAAAAUAUCAUUGAAAUUUUCAGCGCAAAGCAAAGGUGAUUGCACUGAAAAAUGUCCUUAAAAUGCCCUGAGCCAUUGCGUUUGUAAUUAAUGCUUCGAGCUUGAGGAUAAAGAUGCUAAUUUUGUCAUCUAUAAUUACAAUAAACUAUUAAAUUUCAUCUGCCAUUCAUUUUUUUUUUCUUUUUAAGCUUUAGCCCCGUUUUUUACGUAAAAGUCUUUCAAAGUGGCUAAUUUCGUGAUAUCGUUUAUAUAACAUCAUUCAACCUUUGUCAUUUUUCUAUCUUAAAUGUGUCAACAAAAAGAAUAAGAAAGCUGUAAACUAUUAGGUCUACUAAGUGAAUGUUUCUGGUGCUUUUAACAUUGUUUUGAAAGCAAACCAGCACAAGACACUUUUAUUUGGUAAUAAAUGUUUUACCACUCAUCCAAUGCUUAUGGUUUACAGCUAGUGAGUGUGGAUUAAAAAACAACACUUCCGUUCCAAACAUGCCGCUUUGAAUUUGAAAUAUAAAGUUUGUAUUUCGUAAAAUAUGACUAAUAAAAUGAUACUAUCAGCAUGUGUGAUGCAUUAGGUAAAACCUAUAUAUAACAAAGAUUGUUAUGAAAUGAAAGUGUGAUAUGGCUUUUAUAGAACAUUGGCGAUCGACCACACCCAUUCCCGAUAUUUUACAUAUAUUCCCGUCCCCUCCCCAUCCCCAUUAGAAUUGAUUGAGGAGAUCCCCGUUCCCUCCCCGAAUGAUAAGAGGGGAUUUCUGAGGGGUCCACAAACCUCGAAUAACUAAUACGUUUUUAUAUUUAAAUUCUGAACUUGAUUAAUUAUAUUAAAAUAAAAAUUUAAACAAAAGUAAGGUUUGACAAUAUAUCUUACACUAACAUUAAUGCAUUACAAAAAUCGUACUACAAAAUAUAAAUUAUCAUAAUAAUUAUCUUCGUCAAUCUUCAUAAUCUUAUGAUAAAAAGAAAUUAUUUUAUAUCAAUAAUGAAAUAAAUGAAAUGGGUAUAGAUACUAAAAUUAAUAUUUUUAAUAAAAGUGUUUACUCUUGUACCUCAUGCUCCUCUUGUUCUUCCUCAAGAAAUGUGACAAAUUGAGAGAUAACAUCAGGUUUCAAAUCUAAAACAAUAAAAAAUAUCUAAACAAUAUGACUCAUAAUUUAAAAUAGUUUUGCGCCAAGAUAUUUAGAAUAAGGUCUGGUUGAAUAGUAAUUCAGGACUACAACUAGUUAAGUAGGUUCGAAAUUUAUAUAGCAGAUUUUAUAAAUAUUUUGAUAUUUGUUAUUUAAACUAAUAUUUAAUAUAAUUUAAAUUUCAUUAUUCAUUUAUUAAUAAUUCUAAAAAAUAGAACCAAAAUUAAAAAUUAAUAUGAGGAAAUGGGGAAAUGGAUAGGGGAUGGGUAUUUCACCUUAUCCCCAUCCCUUUCCCGAAUAAGAAACUGGGUAAAAAAUUGUCCUCAUUCCCUCCCCGAAUAAGAAAUUAGGUAUCAAAUUGUCCCCAUACCCUCCGCGAAUAGGGAAAAUCUCCAAAGAUCCCCGUCCCCGUAAGAAUUUUUGCCAAACCUAAAAGGGAAAGAUGCGAAGGAAUACCUUUUUAAAACAAAAUUCCUCCAAAUUUGGGAAAUAUUCAUUUUCUUCUGCAUAAUAAUUGCAUUUGAUCCAAAAGAGAACAAUUACUUUUCCAAAUGACCCCAUGAGAGAAAAUGAGGUUACGCAAAUUGAGUGGAGGUGGAAAUUGUUAGAUUAUAUAAGUUAUAAAACUAAAUUCCUAAAUUAUUAUGAUACAUCUUUUUAGAUAAUUUAAUCGCCGUACGUUAUAAGAGUAAAAUGAUUAAAUUAAAAUUAAGUAAAAGCGAUCUUAGUAGUCAAAGAUGGUCAAUAAACAUAGGUCUAAAAAAAUUAUUUAUUCAUUAAUUGUCAAAACUUUUUCUCUAUUUGAAUUUUUUGAAAAUAAUAUGAAUUCUCCAUAAUUAGUUUUUGAAAUGGGUGGAUCUACACAGAUUGUGGGUAAAAAUAUCCCAAUUCCAGUACAAAAUUUGUUAAAAGUAGAAUGACGAGGCCUAAUUUCAUAUAGUCCAACUAAAACUCAAUCUAAAAAUCUAUAUCAAAGUAAAGGAGAGUCCUACUUCAAAAUAGAGAUGACCAACGAGCCGUGUAAGCAAGGGGAAGGUGAAUGAAGGCCCAUGGGUUGGCAUGGCACGACUCACCAUGUGAACUAAAUGGGUUGUGCUUGACUUUUUUUGCUUAGGCCCAACACGACCAAGCACAACGUGCUUGGUCGUGCCCAAGAAAAAGCACAAUAAAAAAAAUUUUAAGAGGACAUGCCAAGUUGUUGACAAGCUUUUCUCAAACCCAUGAACAUUUCUUGGGCCAUAUACCUUUAGUCAAAUUCAAUAGAAUUAAAAGUUUAAAACUCUAAGUCAAUAUUCGAUAUUUUUAGUGACAAAAUUAUAAGUUCUUCACUAAAAAUAUUCUUAUAAAAAUUUAAUGUAAGGUCAAAAUUUUAGACCUUUUGCGACGAAAUGUAUAUUUCAUCGCUAAAUGUGUAUUUUUAAUGAAGAAAUUGUAAUUUCAUUGCUAAAAUAUUCGUUAAGGACCUAAAGAACCACCAAAAUUUCAUACCUUUUUGAGAUGAAAUUUAAAGAUUUAAGGUGGUUAAUUUUUUGCCAAAGUUUUAGGCUUUUAGCAAUGAGAUUAUAAGUUCAUCGCUAAAAAUAUUUGAUUAAAGAUUUAAAAUGGUUAAUUUUCCACCAAAAUUUUAGACCUUUAGCAAUGAAAUUUAAAUUUCAUCCCUAAGUGCAUUUUUUUAGCAACAAUUUUCAUUUUGCCACUAGACAACGUGAGAAUUUAAAAAUGUAAAGCAGAUUCUUUUCCACCAAAAUUAAGUUUUAAUGAUGAAUUUUAAUUUUCAUCGCUAAAAACCCUAGUUCUAUGUUUAUAUAUCAUUUACUUCAUUUUUUUUAUUCUUUCUCAUUCUCUCAUUCUCUUAAUUUUAUUCUUUAAUUCUCUUAUCUCUAAUUUAUUAUUCUCAUUCAAUCAUUCUCUACUUCUUUUCUCUCUUUUAUUUUUAACAUAUUUGUAAUUAUUUUUGUAUUUUUCAUCAAUAAUAAUAAUAAUAAUAAUAAUUUUAAAUUAAUUAAUUUUCAUCUUAUCAUAAUGAUGUUAAUUAUCAUUGUAAUUUAGUGUUAAAAAUGAUAAUAUUUUAAUAAUAAUAAUAAUAAUCAAAUGUUAAAAAAUGAUGUCUUCUAGCGAUGAAAUAAUAUUCAUCGCCAAAAAUACUUUCAGUGACGAAAUAAUUUGUUUACUAAAACUCAUAUUCACAGCACAUAAAUUAAUGAAGAGUUUAUGCUUUUGGUGACAAUUGUAUUUAUGGCUAAAAAAGAGACCUUUGGUAAGGAAACUUUUCAUCACCAAAAGUGUGUUUUUUUGUGCUCCUUUUGCUAUGAAUCUAGCAACAAAGAUUUGGUCGCCUUUAUCAUUUUUGCGAUGAAGCUAAUUUUAUUGCUAAAACAUUCAGAGAUGAAAUUUGAAUACUUCAUGUCAAUGAAAAAAAUCACUGUAGUCUUUAGCGAUGAAAAUUAUACGUUUUAGCGAUGAUUAUUUCUGUCCUAAAGCCCCUUUUUGUUGCACUGAACAUCUGGCAAUGCAUUGAUCAUAUCUUGGGUAUUGACUUUUGAUCUGCAUGCGCUAAGGUAUCUAAUUAUAGAAGCCCCGAUAAAGUUAGCACCAAGAUUAUUUGACUCAAUUGUUUGAUGAUUUCUUCAUUCUAGCGGUUUUAAUAAAGAAGUUUUAAAAAUCUUGAAGUGCCAUUUGUGAAUAUUUGCUAUUCACUUUCGUAUGAUACUAAUUGAAGAUGUUUAAAAAUAUUAUGCAUUUGUAAGUAAACAUUCUAGUAAUAUACCAAAGUUUCCUUUUAUUCACGUACAUAAAUAUGAUCUUAAUUUUAUAGUAAACCUGAAAAAAAAGGAAUUCCUGUUGAAGGAAAUAAGAAUCCAUUUAUUGCCUGAAAUGAAUUAUUUUACUGUGAAGUUUUCUCCUUCCAAGUGCUUGAUUAUUCUAUAUCCUUUCCAACAGGCUCUACUACAGGUCCUUUGUUACUGUAUUCAUCAUAGUAAAAGUCUCCACGCUCUGUCCUUGCCACAAUCCAACCUUUAGGAUCAAUUAUUCCAUCAAGAAAAGUUUGCGAGAUUAUUGUUCUUGAAUAUAUAAUUUCUCCGCGGUCAUCCCAUGUAUGUCUCGAUUGAUGUUUGCUCUGAGAGAAGUCUUCUAUGAUUGUCUUUACAUUCCCUUCAGUAGUUAUGGUGCGAUUAUGAAUGAUUACUCCUCCAUUUUCCCUUGCUUUUUCUCUUCCUUCGGUUGUGACCGUCUUUACACUCCCACCAAGGAAACAACGAAUGUAGAUAUUACAAUUUUGAACACUUAACUUGCAUCUCCAAAUAUAAAAUCAAUUACACCAUAGACAUCACACUCUUGAUAGAACAGUUUAUUGCUUCUAGCAUAAAGGGCGCACUGAUACCCAGCAAACUUUUACCUCUAGAAGGCAGAGUCCACCUCACCACUGAUGCUACUGCCUAGCUUGUUUCCUGUUAUGGUCCAGUUGUCAAAUGUUGUAUUAAUUGUCACAAAUCGAGCCACUUUAAUCAUUACAUUGAGUUGAAAAAAAAAAAAAAAAAAAGCUAAUCAAUAUAUGUUAGAAUAUAACAAGAUCAUGUUUACUGAUCUUAUUUUUUGUUUGUUAAUUUAAUGCAUGUAUACUACAAUUUAUAAGGAGAAAAAAGAGAGAAUAAAAUUGCAUAACUGAUCACUCAUUAACUGUAGCAGUCUUGUAAGUAGAUAAACGAUCCUUUUCCGUGGCUUUUAUUCCUGGAAAUGAUUGUGUCUUUGAUUUUAUUGCUAAUUUACACCAAAUUCAUUUUCUCUUUUCCAACAACAACAUAUUCAAUAGAGAUGGCCAAUGGACUGAGAGAGGUAAGUGGCACGACAUGUGCACGGCACGGGCACGACACAUGUUUGUAUAGCAUGGCAUGACAUGAGCACAUUUUGGUAGAAUUGCGAAUUAUGUUGGACUGAGAAUUUUAGGCAUGUGUGUCUCAAAGAUAAGUCACAAUUAGAAAUGAGCUAAAGUAUGACUUGUGACAAAGCCCGCAAUAAGCACACUUUAUUGGUGGGUUAGCGUGUAGUCCAUGGGUCAUCAAUAGCAUGUAGGCUAAGAUAUAUCAAAAUAAAUUUUUUUAAUAAAAAAUAAAUUUAAAAUUUUAUGAUUUUACGAAUAACUUGAAGUUGAAUCUUUUAAUAUAUUUUAUUAGCAUGGAUUUUUUUAAAAUUCAUUUAAGUUUUAAUCUUAUUCAUUUACCAUAAUUGUGAUUAUAUAAUCAAUAUUUUGUAGUUGUGAUUUGUCAUAAUUGGUAGUUCAUGAUUGUUAUUGCAAUCAUAAGAGAAUUCAUUGGGAAGAAAUAAUCACGUUGGAGGAAUAAAGAUACCACUUAUGACUGUGAGUAAAUCGCUGAACAAUUUCUAAAUUCUGAUUCUUGAGUUGAUAUAAAACUUAAAAUUUAGAUUCGCAAGAAACUCAUUCUGUGAAGUGAAUGUGGUGUUGCUAAUAGCUAAUAUUGGAGAGAAGAUGUAUUAUAUAACUAGGUCCAACUUAGGAUUCUUUAUUUAUAGACCAAUAGAAGAGUUGAGCUAUUCAUCAAAUCUCUAUUUUUAUUUAGGAUGAGAUUAUUUACACUCUAAUAUAUUCUUUGCACAUUCUAAUUUUAGUAAAAUUUUAUAUUACUAAAGUAACCCUAACGUAUUUAUUAAUUGAUCAUGAGUGUGGAGUAAUAGAGCCUUACCCUUUUAUUUAUGAUUUAGAUUUACAUAUUUUGUCAAAUAAAUCCUCAUACCAUCGAAGUUUACCAAAUAUAAAUAUAGUCAACUUCUAGUUCGAGACGUGUUUACAAUAUUACAAAUAAAACUUGGACUUAAAUAAAACACGGGAUUCCUGGAUUGAAAAAACUUCAUAUAUAUUGUCAGAUAAAUACUCAUUCCUCAUUGAGCAAAUUAUAGAUCUUUUUUGUUUAUUAAAAUGCAAUUAUCAUCUUUCCUUGAAAGACUUCCAUAAUUUAUUUUCACAACACAAAAUUUUCUUUUAUUUUUAUUCAAUAAUUAGAUUAUCAUUUUCUAUUAAAUUUAAUUAAUCAGUGGAAUUUUUCAACUGUAGUAUGACUUAGGGCUCUUGAAAAGAUAAAAGCUAAUUUUAGUGUUUAGUAAAUUUUUUUAGAAAUAACUUUUGACAAAAUCACCCCAUCCUACAACCAAUUUAUUAAAAGCAGGAAAGGAGUACCUUUUCAAAAUUUGAUUUUGAGAAUUACUUUCCUACUUAAUACAAUUCCAUACAUUUUUUUUCAUAUAUAUUAAAAAAUCUAAAAUUAUCCUUAUUAAUUAGGAAAUAAAAUCAAUAAGAUUAUUAUUGAGAUAAUGAAAUAAAAAAUAAAAUUAAUAAUAUAAAUAUUUAUUUUAGUUAUGUUUAUCAGUGUGUAAAUAAAUUUUAUUCAACAUUAUGUCUAAUUUAGUCAUUUAUAUUCUUACAAUAGUUUAACAAUAAAUUUUACCAAACACACAUAAUUAUUUUUAAUAUUUGCAGCACUUUUAAAAAUAAAUGUUACCAAAUAUUUAAUUAAUUCUUUUCAGAGUUGAUUACUUCUACAACACAGCUAACAUUAUUUAUUUUAAAAGAAUACAAUAUUAUCAAACUAGGCCUUAGCAAUAACAUAUUGAUGACUUUGAAAUUAUUUUAAAAGACCAAUUUUGACUAGUAGAAAAAAGAACAUUCCUUAUAAUCAGAAAAAAAAAAAUUAUUAAAAGUUUCUAAUUUCGUGAGUAUUAAUUUCUUAGUGCUUUUCUAAUUUAAAAGGUAAUGUAGAACAAGAAGAUAGUAAAAUUCUCAAAAAUGAAUAGACUUGAUAACAUAAUUUUCUUACAAAAUAUUAAUAAAUACUUUGAGCAAAUAAAAUAGAAAUACUAUAGAGUGCAAGAUGGAUGAUAUUGUUAGCAUAAUAAUAAUCUAGCUCAAUUAUCCAACAUAGGAACAAUCAUUUACCAAGCAACUAUAGAAGGCCGAGUCCGCUUCACUCACUAAUGCUACUGCCUGGCCUGUUUCCUGUUCUGGUCUGGUUAUGUUCUCAAAUGUUAUAUUUAUUGUCACAAAUCCAGCCCCUUAAUCACUACAUUAAUUUGAAAAAAAAAAUAGCUAAUCAAUAUAUGUUAGAAUAUAGCAAGACCAUGUUUACUGAUCUAAUUUUUUGCUGCUUGUUAAUUUAAUGUAUAUAUGCUACAGUUCAUAAGGUGAAAAGGAGAGAAUAAAAUUGCAUAGCUGAUCACUCACUAACUGUAGCAGUUUUGUAAGUAGAUAAAUGAUCCUUUCCGUGCCUUUCAUUCCUGGAAAUGAUUGUGUUGUUGAUUCCAUUGCCAAUUUACACCAAAUUCAUUUUCUCUUUUCCAACAACAACUUAUUCAGUAGAGAUGCCCAAUGGGCUAGGAGGCAAGUAGCACGAUAUUGGCACGGCACGGGCACAGCACAUGUCCAUACAACACAGCACAACAUGAGCAUGUUUUGGUAGGACAUGUAGUACAACACGGUACACGUAUGAACUAUGUUGGGCUGAGAAUAUUAGGCAUGUGGGUCUUAAAAACGCGUCACAAUUAGAGAUAGGAUAAAACACGGUCCAUGAGAAACCCCACAAUAAGCACACUUCAUUGGAGGGCUAGCAUGCAACCCGUGGGCCAUUAAUAGCAUGCGGGCUAGGUAUAUUAAUGAAAAGUAAACUUAAAAUUUUAUGAUUUUAUAAAUAACUUGAAAUUAAAUCUUUUAACAUAUUUUAUUACCGUAGAUUUUUUAAUUCAUUUAAGUCUUGAUCUUAUUCAUUUAUCAUAGUUGUGAUAAGUAAUCGAUGUUUUGUAGUUGUGAAUAUGAAGCAUUUGCUAAAUGAUAGGACUGAUUCUUUAAGGUACAUGCCAGUAGGGACUGUGAGGUUAAAGGGCAUUGAGCUACCCUAGCUAAGAGGAUAGUUGCCAAGAUUGCAGGGGAUUAAUAGAAGCAGCAUAUUUAAAAAGGCGUGAUAUUAUAGUCCCUAUAUGUGUCGAUUCAUAUAAGUUUGAAAAAGUUUAAAACGCUUUUUUUUUAAGGGUCUGACUAUGGUGCAACUGUAGUACCAUACUACAGUUUCUUCCAGCCGUUGAAUCCAACUUAUGAUAACAACUAUAACUAAAUCUAACGACUGAAUGCAACUGUAAUAUGAUACCACAGUUCCAUCAUAGUUUUGCCCAUUUUUCAAUCUGUGCAAGACAAACCGGACCAAAAAAUUGCUGGAGCACCAGGUCAUUUGUACCAACAUGUUAUUAAUUAUACACGUACGCGUGGCUUUGUCAUGAUUUGAUGCUACACCAAAAAGAGAUAUUUAUAGCUAUAAUUUUUAAACUGCACCGUGAUAUUUGGUAAAUAAUAGCAGUUAAGGUUUAGAAAGUAAGUUGAUUUUCUUUCACAUUUGUAUGAUUAAAAAUCAAUAAUAUUUUUAUUAUUUUUAUCAAAACUCUUAUUGAAAAGACUUAUUCAUUAUACACUAUCAAAUUUUAUUGUAUAGUUAUGAUUUUUUUUUACAACUAUUGUUUAAAAAUUACAACCUCUGAGUACAAAACAAUACCUUUGACUUGUUAAUUGUGAUGGCGUUGCAGCCUAAGGAGUUCUUUAGGAGUUUGAGAGGCAGAAAGAAAAACAGUAUUAGUAUUUUACCAACUAAAAGUUCUUAAUUUAAUUUUAUGUUCUGCAUUUUGCUCUGAUAGAUUUUGUGUUUAUUAGGCUAUGAAUUUUUUUAGAAAUAAAGUGUGCAUUUCUAUGUUCUUCAUUUAGGAGUGUUAAUUCAUGUAAUCGUGUCAUGUCAAAUUUAAGCAAACACAAAUACGAUCCAUUUAUUUUAAUAUAUUCUUUUUAAUCUCUUGUAUGAUAGGAAAAACAUAAAUUUUAAUAUUGUUUUAUUGUUUAGAAGAUUAGAAGAUUAGAACUCGUGUUGGGUAAAACCUAAGUCAAUUAUUUUAACCCCUAUACCUCUCCAGAAUUUGAACUCCAGUGACCGAUCAAGUAAGACGACUUAAAAAUUGCUAAUAACUUAUAUACUCCACAUGAUAGAAUAGCAAUGAAUAGAAUUACUGAUUUAUUUAUUUUAUUUUGGAUUACCCCCAGGAUUAUUAUUUACCCAAGUUGAACAAUUUCGACUUGGCGACUUCGGAAUUUCUGAAAAUUCCGAAAAAAGAACUCUCACAAGUAUCACUUUCAAUUAUUUCAUCCGCUACAUAUCGGCCGGCAGAAUCAUGAUCACCAUUCUCCAUAUGUUUUAUAGCCGUGGGGAGUUCAUCGAUAGCUAGAUCAUAAACUUGAAAGCAAACAUCGAGACAGAUUUUCAUAGCCUGAUCUUCGGUUUCAUUAAGCAACUUCUUGAUUUGUUCAUACGUAAUAUUGCAGUAUGUUGAUGCCGAUUCAAGUAUGAUGUGAGCUAGACAUUUGAAACAGAUCUCAAGGAUCCGGACAUUUAUCAUCCUAAAGUAAUUUCAAUAUUAUAUUUUCUACUAUUUUUAAUUUCCUAUUGAAUAAACUUUUUCUUAUACUGAUUUUUUUUUUGGUUCCCCCCAAAUUUGUUGAUAGUUUGCAGGACAAAGAGUAGUAGUUGAACCAUUACUUAGGUUUAUGGUAAAGGAGGUAAAUAAUUGGCAUGUUAUUAAGCCUUGUUUUCUCUGAACCAUUAAAUAAUUUGGCUUUUGAGUCAAGUGCUAGCUUUUUAAGGUACUCUCACUGAACUGAGUGACCAAUUUCUUUUGUACUAAAUGUAUCAUGUGAUGCAGGUAGCAGAGCAGGAGUAUGGUUUAUAAAACAGCAAAACGUUUUGUUUUGGUGAAAGGAUUACACAGAGUAUGUGACAUCGCACUUGGCUUUGAAAGAAUGUGAGUGAUGAACUUAAAAAGGGGUGACUUCCCUUGCACGGUCCAUCUGUUUUCAUUAAUACCUUUGUUGCAUAUCUAGGUUCAAGGAGCAAUGUUGAUGCCAUUCAUAGAUAUUAAAGACAAUGAGGAGAAAAAGGUGAUAUACUAUACUUGCUGCAUAAUGACCAAAUCUCCAUCGCUCUCUCAUUGUAACUUGAUACGCAAUUUGAUUGUCAACGAAUAAUUAUUAACCAAGAAUGCAGGGUAUCAAAAGAAGCAGCAUACUUGAAAAAGGCAUUAUAUUCUGGAGGCUAUGUGUCAAUUCAUAUAAGUUUCAAUAAGUUUAAUAGUUGAGCUCUGUUAGCUCGCCCAUUUUUUUUUUUUUUUUCCAAUUUGCGCAUUCAGGUACUAUCAAAGUUUGCUUACACUACUGGGUUCGGAGCAUCACUGGCUGUGGUUCUAGACUUCAGGUUUUUAUUAGUUAACUCUCUCUCCCUUGUGUGUACACACACACAUAUCAUGUUUUUUCAUAGUUCUGAAACUCACAAGAUUUAAUUGUAUUAAAAAUGUUUUGGUCGUCUGCAUUGUCAGGUUAAGGAUACUGAGCAAUGUAUUAAGGCAAAUGUCAGAGUUUUGUUAGUUUCCAAGAAAUCGAUCCUACUGUGGGGCCAAGGAUACUAUGAGGUUAUUUGGAAUUGAGGUGCUGUAAUUUUAAGUUACAGCUGUUGUAAAAAAAAAAUAUAAUUAUGAAAUAAAAGUUAAUAGUGUAUAGUAAAUAUAAUAAAUUUUUCAUCAUACAAGUGAAAAAUAAUAUAAAAAUAACUUUCAAGUUACAGCAGUUAGUGUUUACCAAAUAUUUUAGUACUGUAUUUUUUAAAUUACAGUUACCCAACCUCAAUCCAAACGCACCCUAAGUACCAAGAUUAUCUUUAUGUGAGAUUUGCAUUUGAUCCAGUGAAUUUUGAGAGCUAGGGUGAGAGAAUUUUUAGGAUAUUGGGAUUUAGGUUGGGGUAUAUUAUUGUUCAAAAUUUAUAUCGUCCUAUAUUUUUUUUAGUUAAAUUAUCUUCAUGUGUUCGCCCCGUGGAUACAGACUGAGAAUCGAACCAUGUAAAGUUAUUAUGUUCUUUCUUCGCAAUUGUUUACUAUAUAGUAUUUGAGAUUGUAUCUCCAAGGUGUGCUUAAAGUUAUUCUUGUUAUUAUUAAUAAUAGGAAAAGAACUUACAAAAUCAUGUUAAUUUGGCACCUUAGGAAUCCUGUUAUUUUUAAAAGUAAUUACGUAUAUCCUUUUUAUGUUUAUACGUAGUCACACAAGUCCUUAAGGUUUGUUUAAAAAGAGUGGACAUUAAAACAAAUCUAAAGCUAAUUGUGGCCUUCAAGUCUCAUGUUGCUUUCUAUCAUAUAAUUUCAAAUGAAAUUUUUUUCCGUUAUUUCUCUAGUUUGAAAUCAAUAUAUAAUUGAUUCUAGUAUAAAACUCUGAAUGGUCAUUGAUUUGUCAGCACGUCUUUAUAAAAAAAUUGUGUGAUCAUUUCUAAGAAUAAUGAAGUCCAUAUGAUCAUUUCACUAAACCACAACAUCUCACUAUCAAUUUCUCUUGCUAGCAAGGCUUCCGCCUAAUCAUAGGCGGUGCCCGAAUAAUCAUUUAAGGUACCAAUUUGAGUCUUUUAUAUUUGGGUGAUUUAAAAUAAUUUAUUUCCCUUCCUACAACUAUAGUUAGAGAUAAAUAUCUUAAUUUCUGGUUAUACUCUUGGUAGACCUUUAAACUGUACUAUGAGUGUAUCGAUGUAGAUUCUGAUCCCAAAUUAUAAUAUCAGGUAACACUUGAAAAUAUAUAUAUAUAUAUGAAGAAGGUCAAGAUUUUCUAGUUAAUGUUGUAUUUUGUUUGACCAAGAAUUAAUUAAACGAGCCCAGCCCAACAACUCAUCGGACCAAUGAUUACCCAUGACUUGUCUGUACCACUGGUGCCGCAGAGGCCUCUGGCGGUCUUAUUGGCUCACACCACAGUGGGGUCUUCGACUGGAAAACUCAAUCCAACGCGCAGACAAAACUAACCCGAACGCGAACAUCCUCGAUCUUUCUAUCACCGAUCAUACGGCCGCAAAUCACCCUCUCCCUCCAGAAGACCAUUCUAGAAUCCUUACACGUGUCACCACCUAACCCUCACCCGUACUCUCUCUCUAUCUACCCCUAAACCCUUCUCUCUUUAUCCUCUUCCUUCUUCUUCGCAGUCUUCAAGAACUAAAACUGAACUCUCUCUCUCUCUCUCUUACACACACACACACACACACACACACACACACACACACACACACACACACACACACACACACACACACACACACACACACACACACACACACACACACACACACACACACACACACACACACACACACACACACACACACACACACACACACACACACACACACACACACACACACACACACACACACACACACACACACACACACACACACACACACACACACACACACACACACACACACACACACACACACACACACACACACACACACACACACACACACACACACACACACACACACACACACACACACACACACACACACACACACACACACACACACACACACACACACACACACACACACACACACACACACACACACACACACACACACACACACACACACACACACACACACACACACACACACACACACACACACACACACACACACACACACACACACACACACACACACACACACACACACACACACACACACACACACACACACACACACACACACACACACACAAAUAAGACCGCAUUCAAAUUCCCACAUAUCUCACUGAAAUAACAAAAGGGCUUGUUUAAUUUUCUGAAAUAUAAGCAUGGCUUGUUCAUCGGCAGCUCAAAUUCAUUUCCUCGGUAAUAUUUCAUUGUCGUCGAGAAAAAACAGUAAAAACGGUCGUCAGAACACGGCGGGGUCGAGAAAUUUGUUUUUUGGGAAAAGGGUUGGCGGGAACCGAUUCGGGUCGGUUCCAAGCGCUGCGUUUUUGAGGUUGAAGAGUGAGAACAGAGGGGGAAGGUAUGUGGGGCCGGUGAGGGUGGUGAAUGAGAAGGUGGUGGGGAUUGAUUUGGGGACGACGAAUUCGGCUGUCGCGGCUAUGGAAGGAGGGAAGCCGACUAUAGUGACGAAUGCUGAGGGGCAAAGAACGACGCCGUCUGUGGUGGCGUACACGAAGAAUGGGGAUAGGUUGGUGGGUCAGAUUGCGAAGAGGCAGGCGGUCGUGAACCCGGAGAACACCUUCUUUUCGGUGAAGAGGUUUAUUGGGAGGAAGAUGGUGGAGGUUGAUGAGGAAUCGAAGCAGGUUUCGUAUAGAGUUGUGAGAGAUGAGAAUGGGAAUGUGAAGUUGGAGUGUCCUGCUAUCGGCAAGCAGUUUGCUGCUGAAGAGAUUUCGGCCCAGGUAUAUAAUAUAUGUGAGAUGAAAUGUGUUGUAUUUUUAGGGGUAUUGUUGAAUUUUUAUUUAUGUUAUUUUUAUUUUUGUUUAGUUUGCUUUGGAAUUACUUGUGGUUUUUUUUAUUUCUAUUGAGAAUUUGAGAUUUUGGAAUGUGUUGUUUGGGUGUUUGGAUUGGGUGCUAAUUAGUUUAGUGAUGGUUUUUAGUUUGAGGUGGAAAUUUCUGGUUUUAGGAAGUGAUUCUGCAGUGAAAGAAAAUGUUGGUGUCUGCAUCUUGUUGAAUUUUGGUUUUUGGAUUAGGGCAAUAGGUUUUGGUUAAUGUUGGCUUCUAUAUGGAACAAUAAUUCUUCUUGCAAGUUGAAGAGACAAGUACUUUUAUGUUGAUUAGUUAGGUGUGUCAAUGGGUGGUUCUAUAAACUUUGUUUACAUAUUUAGGGAAUUUUGUUUGGCAGCAGAUGUGGUCACACUGAAGAUUGGUUUUGUAAGACAUUCAUAUAUGUGCAUGAAUACAUGUGAAAGUGUGAACAAUUUGUAUUCACAUGCAUUUGUAAUCUGUGAUAUGCGUGCUGGCUAUGAAUUAAUAAACAACAUGAUUACUUCAUCUUAAUUGGUCUAUUUGAAGGUUACCUUAUAUCAUUUGUUUACUCUUUGUUACUGAUUUAGGUCUUGAGAAAGCUUGUCGAUGAUGCGUCCAAGUUCUUAAAUGAUAGUGUGACUAAAGCAGUGGUCACAGUGCCUGCUUACUUCAAUGAUUCCCAGAGAACAGCAACAAAGGAUGCUGGUCGAAUUGCUGGCUUAGAUGUUCUGCGUAUAAUUAAUGAGCCUACUGCUGCUUCGUUGGCAUAUGGAUUUGAAAAGAAAAACAACGAGACCAUCCUAGUGUUUGACCUUGGUGGUGGUACUUUUGAUGUUUCAGGUACUGUUGAGAAGUAUUCGAGGUUUAUCUAUUAUGUUGUUUUCUGUAGUUACACGUGUUGCACUUUGAAUUGAAAGAACUGCCUUUAUUUGAACAUUUGAGCAUUGUCUCAUUCAUUUCACUUUGAUUGCAGUCCUUGAGGUCGGUGAUGGAGUGUUUGAAGUGCUCUCCACCUCAGGCGAUACGCAUUUGGGUGGUGAUGAUUUUGAUAAGGUUUGAAUUCUUCGUCUCGUCUCUGAUUAACAUUUUUAUCCGUGUGUGUUGAGUCUGAUUAGGUGCUAAAUGGACUGACAUUUAUCACCUGACGUAUGCAGAGGAUUGUUGAUUGGCUUGCUUCAAACUUCAAGAGAGAUGAAGGCAUAGAUCUUUUGAAGGACAAACAAGCUCUUCAGCGUCUAACUGAGACGGCUGAGAAGGCUAAGAUGGAGCUGUCAUCUUUGACUCAAACAAACAUCAGGUAUGUUGCAUGUACAUGAGUAACUCUGUUAGUCUGUUUGUACAUGGACACAUUCUCCCACCGGGCAGUAUGUUGUACUGAUGAUUUUGUGCUUGUCCAGCUUGCCUUUCAUUACUGCUACUGCAGAUGGGCCGAAGCAUAUUGACACCACCCUUACGAGGGUUAAGUUUGAGGAAUUGUGUUCAGACCUACUGGACAGGUACCUUUUGUUGCUUGACAAGCUUGUUCAUUUCUACGCCUAUACAUUAUGUGAUGGGAGAGUUGGAUUGGUGCUUGUCGGUUUAAGUAUUAGUUUGAAUAGUUAUAUGUUCUUCCUAUCACUUCUUGGCUAUUUUUACUCUAUUUGGGUAAUAAUGCUUAUUAGACUCAUCUUUGCUAUUUGCAUUUAAUAGGCUCAAGACGCCUGUUGAAACUUCUUUGCGGGAUGCAAAACUUUCCUUCAAGGAUCUUGAUGAGGUUAUUCUUGUUGGUGGAUCAACACGUAUUCCAGCUGUUCAGGAGCUGGUGAAGAAGAUGACUGGAAGGGAACCAAAUGUUACAGUCAAUCCUGAUGAAGUUGUUGCCCUAGGAGCUGCCGUUCAGGUAGGUUCAAUGCUAGUGCAAUAAUACCUCUUAAUGUUGUAAAUUUUGGAUGUGGUUAAAACUUAAAUUGGGGAAAUGAAUCAUGUGUGAAUAACAUCAUCUCUAUAAACUUACGACAUGUUUUAUAUUUUUUCAUCUUAGGCUGGUGUUCUUGCUGGUGAUGUCAGUGACAUUGUUCUGUUGGAUGUGACCCCAUUAUCUCUUGGUUUGGAAACCUUGGGUGGUGUGAUGACCAAAAUUAUUCCUAGAAAUACAACUUUGCCCACUUCCAAGUCAGAGGUGUUCUCAACAGCUGCUGAUGGUCAGACCAGUGUCGAGAUCAAUGUUCUCCAAGGUGAAAGAGAAUUCGUGAGGGACAACAAAUCUCUUGGCAGCUUCCGUCUUGAUGGCAUCCCUCCAGCACCGCGUGGGGUUCCUCAAAUUGAGGUUAAAUUUGACAUCGAUGCCAAUGGUAUUCUUUCUGUCUCUGCUGUUGACAAAGGCACCGGAAAGAAACAAGACAUCACCAUUACUGGUGCUAGCACUUUACCCAAUGAUGAGGUAUGUUUGAUGUUUGCUAAUUGAGCAGUUCUUAAUUGUCUCUGACUUAUGCCUCAUCUGGGGCCACAUUUUAGCCUCAACAGCUUAUUGUUACCGAAUCUAGUUUAUUUUCUAACAAGCUCUUGUGUUCAGUAGAGUUAAUUGUGCUUUCGGGUCCUCCAUAAUUUGUAUGCUUGAUGGUCUAAAUCGGAAGCUAUUAGUCAUUCUACUGUACUGACAUUGAUGGAUUGCAUUUUUUAGAUGUUAUGAUUAUGUUUAUGGUGGAAUCGUGCUGCAAAUGUCUGAUUUGUGAUAUUCAGGUGCAAAGAAUGGUGCAAGAAGCUGAGAGAUUUGCCAAGGAGGAUAAAGAGAAAAGAGAUGCUAUUGACACCAAGAACCAGGCGGAUUCUGUCGUAUACCAAACGGAGAAACAGCUGAAGGAGCUGGGAGACAAGGUUCCAGCCGAAGUGAAGGGGAAGGUCGAAGGAAAACUCAAGGAGCUCAAGGAUGCAAUUGCAGAGGGUUCAACCCAAGCAAUGAAGGACACUAUGGCCGCCCUUAACCAAGAAGUUAUGCAGCUUGGCCAGUCCCUUUACAACCAACCAGGAGCUGGGGCUGCACCUGGCGCUGGACCUACUCCUGGUGCUGAGGCUGGAGCUUCAGACUCAUCCAACAAAGGACAGGAUGGUGAUGUCAUCGAUGCAGAUUUCACUGACAGCAAGUGAAAAUCUGCCUAGUUUUUGUCUUCCUAAUUUAUUGGAUGUGUAUAAGAAUUUGAUUUU